RNAcentral lists this long non-coding RNA (442 nucleotides) under Ornithorhynchus anatinus (platypus). RNAcentral describes it as "lncRNA (ENSOANG00000043016.1)". Lineage: Eukaryota; Metazoa; Chordata; Mammalia; Monotremata; Ornithorhynchidae. The record is from RNAcentral.
CCCGACUCUCUGACCUAGUUCUCCAGGGAAAGAGAUUCCGUGGCUUUUCUGGAGUUGAAGGGUCCACACCCCAUCCCCACCCGACUCCGGGGAAUAACACGGUCCACGAGCCUGUCACCUUCUCCACUUGCGCGGUAGAUUAUUCCCGGUUGCAAGACUUGCGGUUUCCUUGUUUGAAGCUGACGAUGAGUCCAGCCUUGGAGACUCUCCAGACGGAGCCAGAGUUGGAGCAGGAAGCGGGCCCAAGGCAGAAACGCAGUCUCGAUUACUCCAAGACAUCCUGCCUUAUGCAUUUCAAGGCCGACUACUUGUUCUACAAGAGGUUUGGGAGCUUGGAAAUGGUGGUGGCUCAGAGGGAAGCUGGGCGACUAGAAGCGAAAUAGAUUCGGACAGAUCCACGAACGAGCGGUCCCUAAGGGGUCACCAGAGAGGUAAGCGGGGG